Molecule: ribosomal RNA, 572 nt
Filed under: uncultured bacterium
Lineage: Bacteria
Description: partial 16S ribosomal RNA
Rfam family: Bacterial small subunit ribosomal RNA
Source: RNAcentral
UGGGGAAUAUUGCACAAUGGGCGCAAGCCUGAUGCAGCCAUGCCGCGUGUGUGAAGAAGGCCUUCGGGUUGUAAAGCACUUUCAGCGAGGAGGAAGGUGGUGAGCUUAAUACGCUCAUCAAUUGACGUUACUCGCAGAAGAAGCACCGGCUAACUCCGUGCCAGCAGCCGCGGUAAUACGGAGGGUGCAAGCGUUAAUCGGAAUUACUGGGCGUAAAGUGCACGCAGGCGGUUUGUUAGGUCAGAUGUGAAAUCCCCGGGCUCAACCUGGGAACUGCAUUUGAAACUGGCAAGCUAGAGUCUCGUAGAGGGGGGUAGAAUUCCAGGUGUAGCGGUGAAAUGCGUAGAGAUCUGGAGGAAUACCGGUGGCGAAGGCGGCCCCCCUGGACGAAGACUGACGCUCAGGUGCGAAAGCGUGGGGCAGCAAACAGGAUUAGAUACCCUGGUAGUCCAGCGCUGUAAAACGAUGUCGACUUUGGAGGUUGUGCCCUUGAGGCGUGGCUUCCGGAGCUAACGNGUUAAAUCGACCGCCUGGGGAGUACGGCCGCAAGGUUAAAACUCAAAUGAAUUGAC